ACCUGAUACCAACAUAUCUCAGUUGGUAGAGAAUAAGACUCUUAAUCUCAGGGUUGUGAGUUUGAGCCCCACACUGGGCA
Podarcis lilfordi (Lilford's wall lizard) is the source of this 80-nucleotide non-coding RNA. NCBI's taxonomy places the organism in Eukaryota, Metazoa, Chordata, Lepidosauria, Squamata, Lacertidae. The record is from the annotation of a GenBank genome assembly.